RNAcentral lists this ribosomal RNA (511 nucleotides) under uncultured bacterium. RNAcentral describes it as "bacterial SSU rRNA". It matches the Rfam family "Bacterial small subunit ribosomal RNA", at positions 28 to 521 of the family's 1533-position model. The record is from RNAcentral.
GAUGAACGCUAGCUACAGGCUUAACACAUGCAAGUCGAGGGGCGAUCAGUUUGGUUUGCUUGCAAACCAAAGACUGGCGACCGGCGCACGGGUGAGUAAACACGUAUCCAACCUGCCUCAUACUCGGGGAUAGCCUUUCGAAAGAAAGAUUAAUACCCGAUAGCAUAAUGAUUCCGCAUGGUUUCAUUAUUAAAGGAUUCCGGUAAAAGAUGGGGAUGCGUUCCAUUAGGUUGUUGGUGAGGUAACGGCCCACCAAGCCUUCGAUGGAUAGGGGUUCUGAGAGGAAGGUCCCCCACAUUGGAACUGAGACACGGUCCAAACUCCUACGGGAGGCAGCAGUGAGGAAUAUUGGUCAAUGGGCGCUAGCCUGAACCAGCCAAAGUAGCGUGAAGGAUGAAGGCUCUAAUGGGUCGUAAACUUCUUUUAAUAUAAGAAUAAAGUGCAGUAUGUAUACUGUUUUGUAUGUAUUAUAUGAAUAAGGAUCGGCUAACUCCGUGCCAGCCGCCGCCGU